CUCCAACCACAAUGACAGAUAAGUCACUGGUGACAGAUUCCGCUGUUGAAGAAUCACGCGCGCGGCUUUCUUCAAAACUGGAAAAUGAAACCCAAAGCGGAUUUGCUGACUGAACCAGCGUGGAAACAACUGCAGCAAUACUUUGACAGCGACGGCGCCAAGAUUAAUAUAUACAAUAUGUUCCAGCAGGAUCCUAAACGUUUCGAGAAAUUUAGCGUGGAGCUCUCCACUCCACAAGACGGGCCGAUUUUACUGGAUUACUCCAAAAACAAGAUUAAUGAAGAAGUACUUGGAUUACUAUUUAAUCUGGCUCGUGCGCGGGAGAUAGAAGCCGCGCGAGGUGCCAUGUUCGGCGGCGAAAAGAUCAAUUUCACAGAGAAUAGAGCGGUUUUGCAUAUUGCUUUGCGCAACAGAAGCAACACGCCGAUAUUGGUGGAUGGAAAGGAUGUAAUGCCUGAUGUUAACGCGGUAUUGGAGCACAUGAAAACUUUUACGAACGAGAUACUGACGAAACAGUGGAAAGGAUUCACCGGUAAACCCAUCGAGGAUGUCGUUAAUAUUGGAAUCGGUGGAUCCGAUCUUGGCCCACUUAUGGUAACCGAGGCUUUAAAAGCAUACAGCAUCGGGCCUAGAGUUCAUUUUGUCAGCAAUAUCGAUGGCACUCAUAUAGCUGAAACUCUUAAGAAAUUGAAUCCGGAAACCACUUUAUUCAUAAUAGCUUCCAAGACGUUUACAACACAGGAAACUAUAACGAACGCAACUACCGCCAAGCAGUGGCUUUUGAAAACGUUGAAAGAUGAAGCCGCAGUCGCCUGUCAUUUUGUGGCAUUGUCCACUAAUGAACAAAAGGUUAAAGAAUUUGGCAUCAAUGUGAAAAAUAUGUUUGGCUUCUGGGACUGGGUCGGUGGACGUUACUCGCUGUGGUCAGCUAUUGGCUUGUCGAUUUGUUUGUCAAUUGGCUUUGAUAAUUUUGAAAAGCUCUUAAGUGGAGCUCACUUUAUGGAUCAACAUUUUUGCACAGCACCGCUGGAGCAAAAUGUCCCUGCCAUACUCGCUUUACUUGGUGUAUGGUAUCACAAUUUUUAUAAGGCUGAGACACAUGCGUUGUUACCGUACGACCAAUACCUACACAGAUUUGCAGCUUACUUCCAGCAAGGGGACAUGGAAAGCAAUGGAAAAUAUAUUACUCGUUCCGGGAAAGCUGUAAAUUAUUCCACUGGGCCAAUCGUGUGGGGAGAACCAGGCACUAAUGGACAACACGCAUUCUAUCAGUUGUUGCAUCAAGGUACGAGACUCGUACCAGCAGAUUUUAUAAUUCCUGUUCAGUCUCAAAAUCAGAUUCCUCCACAUCAUACGAUUUUACUUGCCAACUUCUUUGCGCAAACCGAAGCUUUAAUGAAAGGCAAGGGUGAAAAUGAGGCUCGAGCUGAAUUGCAAAAAUCGGGAUUAAACGCUGAACAAGUGGAGUUACUGUUACCACAUAAGUUGUUUGAAGGAAACAGACCGACAAACAGUAUUGUGAUAAAGAAAUUAACACCUUUUAUUCUUGGCGCUUUGAUUGCAAUGUAUGAACACAAAAUCUUUAUACAGGGAAUUAUUUGGGACAUUAAUUCAUAUGAUCAGUGGGGCGUGGAGUUGGGAAAACAGCUAGCUAAAGCCAUCGAACCAGAACUCGCUAGCGCAGAAAAUGUCACAACGCACGAUUCGUCGACUAAUGGCUUGAUAGCGUUUGCUAAACGUCACAACGCCUAAAUGUACUUAUUUAUUCUUUGUUACAAGGUAUUGAAAAUAGACGCAACGUAAAUAGCUCUAUUCCAAGUUACAUUAUUGUGCACUUGACGUAGUUGGUGAAAGAAAGAUUUCGAGAGCCAAACGUAUAACUCUUAAAGUAUCUUUAAGACUUGAUUCUUUAGUUAGUAAGAAUAUUCUUAAAAGUCGCCAGAAGUAAUUAAUAACGUCAGUGAUUUUUAUUGACCGUAUC
This is an RNA transcript of Vollenhovia emeryi, 1981 nucleotides long. It is a transcript of the gene named glucose-6-phosphate isomerase, with no coding region annotated. The transcript has 12 exons. Lineage: Eukaryota; Metazoa; Arthropoda; Insecta; Hymenoptera; Formicidae. The record is from RefSeq and is a predicted model, not a curated record.